GAUCGACUGUUGGCGGGUAUUGUUCCUCUUUUAUCGGCUGCACUGAAUAAAAACAUCCCUGCUAAAUGUGUCAUUUUCAUGUUUGGUCUGGGAGAGUGGUAGUGGUGAGAUGUGAGAUAGACAGUGGUGGGAUGUGUGUGGGAGUGAGAGCGUGGUGGUGUGUGUGUGUGAGAGCGACAGUAUGGUGGUGUGUGUGUUGUGUGUGUGUGUGAGAGCGACAGUAUGGUGGUGUGAGUGGUGUGUGUGUGAGAGUGUGUGUGUGUGUGUGUGUGUGUGUGAGAGCGACAGUAUGGUGGUGUGUGUGGUGUGUGUGUGUGUGUGUGUGGUGUACUUCCAGCAGGACCCACACAGGAGCAGAGGACCAGUAUAAGGUGUAAAUAUCACUUCUAUAUUUCAUAUUCCUUCAUCCAACUACAUCCACUGGAACACAACAUGUGAGACAGUAAGGCAUCAGACAGGUGUGGUGUGUGUGUGUGUGUGUGUCCUCAGACAGGUGAUCACUUUACAUCCUCAGACAGACAGACAGGUGACAUCAUCAUCCUCAGACAGACAGGUGAUCACUUUACAUCCUCAGACAGACAGGUGAUCACUUUACAUCCUCAGACAGACAGACAGGUGAUCACUUUACAUCCUCACACAGACAGGUGAACACUUUACAUCCUCAGACAGGUGAUCACUUUACAUCCUCAGACAGAC
Long non-coding RNA from Clupea harengus (Atlantic herring), 696 nucleotides. The record is from Ensembl. NCBI's taxonomy places the organism in Eukaryota, Metazoa, Chordata, Actinopteri, Clupeiformes, Clupeidae.